Molecule: long non-coding RNA, 510 nt
Filed under: Brassica napus (rape)
Lineage: Eukaryota; Viridiplantae; Streptophyta; Magnoliopsida; Brassicales; Brassicaceae
Description: long non-coding RNA (BNAP_LNC010776)
Source: RNAcentral
GGCGGUGCGUGGAUACUGGAGCGUGGAUGGGUUGUGUGUGGACGGUUAAUAAGGGAACGAGUGAUGUGUAUGGUCGUGGUAUUGGUCCGUGUGGAUGCAAUCUCCAGGGUCUAGUGGGGUGGUUUCUGAUGAUGUCUUGCUUGGUGAAGUGAGUGCAGGUGAGCCGUCCACAAUUAGUAACAUUGCAAUUGCUGUUGGAGUAAUGGGAGAUAUCUCAUGGUUCCAAUAUAUGCUUCUCUUAUCUAUAAAUCUGUAUACAAAGACCUCUUUUGUUAUCCUCCAUGUAAUGUAUUUUUGUUCUCUCUUUUCGGUUUUAGAGUAUGGAUUAUCAUUUUGUAGUUGAAUAUCAACAUAACCCAAACGUCAGUUUAAUCUAUUAUGCAACUUGUGUUCUAGUUUAUUGAAUUUUCUAUAAUAUGGAUAUAGCUAUGACCACGUCCACAUUUCUCAUGUCAUCCACAAGUUCCAUUCCAAACUACAAUCUCUCCAAAUUGGUAGCUUAUAUCAAUA